RNAcentral lists this long non-coding RNA (1976 nucleotides) under Calidris pygmaea (Spoon-billed sandpiper). Its description in RNAcentral is "lncRNA (ENSCPGG00000012175.1)". The record is from RNAcentral. Lineage: Eukaryota; Metazoa; Chordata; Aves; Charadriiformes; Scolopacidae.
UUACUGAGUAACUUGUACUUUAAAAAUACUCUAUUAAAAACUGUCAAGGAAUGUUUUUUACUCUUUUUCUGUUUCUGAAUUUUGAGGGUUUUUUAGCUACUAAAACUUUGACCCUGCUUGUAAUUUAUUUGCAGUUGAAACAAAAGUAACUACUAAUGUGGCUUCACAUCUUUUAUUUUUAGAAAGCUUUGAAGACACUAACAAUGAAAGGAAGGAUUCCACAGGAGAAAUUGGAGGGAAUAAAGGUUUUCAACAGCCAUCCUUUGAGAAGGCUUUAAGCAUCUCAAGCUAUAUUCCCAGUUCUACAGAUGUUCCUGAGAGGUUUAUUUCUACACAAACGGUCAGUAGCAGCACUCCACCAGCUUCCACUGUAAAAACAAUCACCGCUUGGAAGUCACUUAGUUCUCAGAGAAGUGCUUCUGUACAACCUCCUGUUGCUGGAGACGUUGCUCGUGCUCUCAGCACCAUCGGUGGUCACCUUGCUAACGUGGAGGAGAGUUCUUCAGCACAUGUUGCAUCCUCAAGGAGCCCGGCUGUAUCACCUGAGAAGAAAACAAGGGUGCAAGCUGAGGCCCACAGCUACUUUGAGACCAGCAGGAAGACUUCUCCCAGCAGCAGAACAAACAUAAGCAAAAGGCUUUCUUUGCCGAGCAAAGUCUUUAAAGGUGGAAAAGCUCACAGAGUUCAGCAUCUGUUAGCCAAGCACAAAGCGAGCCCUUUACCUUUUGUCCUUGUGGAGGCCACUGUCCCACCAAAACUGCUUCCCGAGGAGCUGAGUGAAAUGGUGCUUCCCAGAGCAGUAACCUGUACUGAUUUGCCCUGUUUCCCUGGGGUACCUUGUGAGCCGGAUCAGGAUGGAAGCGUCAAGUGCGGCCGUUGUCCUUAUGGGUAUUAUGGGGAUGGCUUCACUUGCAGAGGUAUUGCAAAUAACCACACUAAAGGCUUUGCAGAAAAGAGUCUUGUGACAUCUUUAUAACAAAGUGCAUUGUUACUGCGUGAUCGGUGAAACAGAGAGAGUAUUGAAUUUUCUCAUUUUCAUUAUUACUGUUGGCAGAGCCUACAGGCUUUUAGUUGCACGGAUGAGCUUAGAAGUAUUUUUUUCUGAGGUGUCUCAGGAUCCCCCACUUAUGGGCAGAGACCCAAUGGAUUCUCUGUGAGCUGUUCAUUAUGUCAGGCAAGACACAGCUGGGCCAAAAUGCCACUUUCAUUUCCCUUAUUCCUCUCUUUGUUUUCUUCACUGCCUUCCAGCAAGAUGUAGACAAACAUGUGGCAAAAAUAUGGAGUGUGUGGCACCCAACAUUUGCAAAUGCAAGCCUGGUUACGCUGGUUAUAACUGUCAGGCUGGUGAGUAUGGCACUUUGGUUUAGCCUGCGGUAACUCAUUUCCACAAAUUCAUGGUUUGAAGAUCACUGUUGAUUUUUUUUUGCACAGCUCUAUGCAGACCUGAUUGCAAAAACCAUGGGAAAUGCAUUAAGCCCAACGUCUGCGAAUGUCUGCCGGGAUAUGGUGGCUCCGCUUGUGAGGAAGGUAAAUAGAAUAUUUUUCACCUUUGAAACCAUAAAUACCCAAAGGAUGCUGUAAAUAACUCCCAUGACACUUCAUUCUGACAGCAGAGGUGUGUUCAUUUUACUCCUACUUAAACAGAACUCUUUGAGGUGGUAUAUACCCUGCUUUUUUUUGAUAUACACUGUAAAUGUUUGUGAUUGGAUAUUCCUAAAUUGAGCUUUUGCAGUAAGUAGAGGAGUUCACCAGUGCGUGUCGAUGCCUCUAAACUCAACGCUCCCAAAGUCCUGUCUGGAAAUGGCCUGGAGAUUUCUUUUCAGGGUGGCUACCGCUGUUAGCAUUCCUUCUUGUUACUUACUCUUGUCAAAAGGCAUCGCACACAUCUCCUUAUUUUAUUUCCAGUUCUUUGCCCGCUGUCAGUUAUUAACAUUUCCCUUUUUCUAAAGCCUAACCGACCCGUGCAUCUUUUUAGA